Non-coding RNA from Izhakiella sp., 344 nucleotides. Lineage: Bacteria; Pseudomonadati; Pseudomonadota; Gammaproteobacteria; Enterobacterales; Erwiniaceae. The record is from Rfam.
GUUUUCCUGCAAACUUUGUGAAAACAAGAAAAAAGCGUAUUAAAUGUAUUAAUAAAAUUUUGCCGGAUAGCACAUACACGCAGCAAUGGCGUAAGACGUUUUGUGAAAUCAGGCAUUUAGCGGGCUGCGGGUUGCAGCCUGGACGAUAUGACGGGAUUGGUUCACUUGCUGUUUUGCAGUAGCGGUACCCCCUGUAAGCGCUGUUAUUCCAUAUGAAAAACAGGCUGCCGAGAAUUUGCGCCCCUUUAGCUGGCGACAACCGUGAGGUUGACGGCUAUGCGAUGAGACACGGGGCCAUCGGCUGUUCACGUCCAGCGUCACCAUGCCCGUAGCUCUGUCACUAA